AACGAACGCUGGCGGCGCGUCUUAAACAUGCAAGUCGAACGAUCUGUAGCAAUACAGGGAGUGGCGGACGGGUGAGGAACACGUAGGAAUCUACCUUGAAGAGCGGGACAACUUUGGGAAACCGGGGCUAAUACCGCAUAGUACAGAGAUGUUAAAGGGCUAGCAAUAGUCGCUUCGAGAUGAGCCUGCGGUCUAUCAGCUUGUUGGUGAGGUAAUGGCUCACCAAGGCUACGACGGAUAGCCGGUCUGAGAGGGAUGAUCGGCCACACUGGCACUGAGACACGGGCCAGACUCCUACGGGAGGCAGCAGUUAAGAAUCUUGCGCAAUGGGGGAAACCCUGACGCAGCGACGCCGCGUGAAGGAUGAAGGCUUUCGGGUUGUAAACUUCGGUAGACUGGGAAGAAGAAAUACGUUCGUUGAGGGCGUAUAGUGACGGUACCAGUCUGAAGCCCCGGCUAAUUACGUGCCAGCAGCCGCGGUAA
RNAcentral lists this ribosomal RNA (483 nucleotides) under uncultured bacterium. RNAcentral describes it as "bacterial SSU rRNA". It matches the Rfam family "Bacterial small subunit ribosomal RNA", at positions 29 to 523 of the family's 1533-position model. The record is from RNAcentral.